Molecule: ribosomal RNA, 619 nt
Filed under: Phyllymenia phuquocensis
Lineage: Eukaryota; Rhodophyta; Florideophyceae; Halymeniales; Halymeniaceae
Description: Grateloupia phuquocensis eukaryotic LSU rRNA
Rfam family: Eukaryotic large subunit ribosomal RNA
Source: RNAcentral
AACAACUCACCUGCCGAAUGAAUCAGCCCUGAAAAUGGAUGGCGCUUAAGCGGGCGACCGACACCAUGCCGUCUGUAUAAGAGUAAAUUUUACAGAUGAGUAGGAGGACGUGGCGGUUGUGUCGAAGCAUGCGUGCGAACGCGUGUGGAACGGCCGCUAGUGCAGAUCUUGGUGGUAGUAGCAAAUAUUCAAGCGAGAUCCUUGAAGGGCGAAGCGGGGAAGGGUUCCACGCAAACAUUGAUUGGGCGUGGGUGAGUCGUUCCUAAGCCGAGUGGCAAUUGCUAAGUAGCGGCGAAAGGGAAGCAGGUUGACAUUCCUGCACACGGAUGUGGAGGCGGUGACGCUUUAAUGAGGGCGAAGACGCUGGCGAUGGCGCUGGGCAGAGAUUUCUUUUCUGUUUAACCGCUGAAGCGCGCGGUGUGGAAUCCGCUUGUCGGGAGAAACACGCUCGUUCGGGCAGAGCGCCGGGGCUAUUCCGGCGUCCAGCUCGCCAUCGACGGCCCUUGAAAAUUUGCCUGCUGGAAUAGUUUUUUUUAUAUUCUAUGAAGAUCCACGCCGUGGCGUACCGAUAACCGCAUCAGGUCCCCAAGGUGAACAGCCUCUGCUCUAUAUGAAUAAU